GAUGAACGCUGGCGGCGUGCCUAAUACAUGCAAGUCGAGCGAACGGACGAGAAGCUUUCUUCUCUGCUGUUAGCGGCGGACGGGUGAGUAACACGUGGAUCACCUACCUAUAAGACUGGGAUAACUUCGGGAAACCGGAGCUAAUACCGGAUGAUAUUUUGAACCGCAUGGUUCAAAAGUGAAUGACGGUCUUGCUGUCACUUAUAGAUGGAUCCGCGCUGCAUUAGCUAGUUGGUAAGGUAACGGCUUACCAAGGCAACGAUGCAUAGCCGACCUGAGAGGGUGAUCGGCCACACUGGAACUGAGACACGGUCCAGACUCCUACGGGAGGCAGCAGUAGGGAAUAUUCCACAAUGGGCGAAAGCCUGACGGAGCAACGCCGCGUGAGUGAUGAAGGUCUUCGGAUCGUAAAACUCUGUUAUUAGGGAAGAACAUAUGUGUAAGUAACUGUGCACGUCUUGACGGUACCUAAUCAGAAAGCCACGGCUAACUACGUG
RNAcentral lists this ribosomal RNA (497 nucleotides) under uncultured bacterium. RNAcentral describes it as "partial 16S ribosomal RNA". It matches the Rfam family "Bacterial small subunit ribosomal RNA", at positions 28 to 507 of the family's 1533-position model. The record is from RNAcentral.